CUGCGGCAAGACCGACUGGUGGCCUGACAAUAUGGAAAGCCAUAACAAAAAGGUUCUAUCUACAAGAGGUCCAGGAGAGCAGCUCUUGCUUCAGCUCGUGCUUUGGGCGUUGGCGGUUGCUUGCCCAUUGAAGGAACAACUCGACACUAAUCUGCUUCGUAGAUGCGCAGUUUCAGAUUAUAAGGUGCCAAUUUUACAAUAUUGGCAUACGGUGCAUCUGGCAGCAGCAAGUCCUACACCCUGGGACUGGGGGGCAACAUAUAAGUCCACUGACGAGACCGCCGGCAUUAUCCCAAGAGCAUGUAGGGAGAUCUUUGCUGCUGUCCCUAGGGAUGACUAUGAGAUCAAAUAUUCAUUUGUUCAGGCAAGUCAUUCAUUGACUGUCUAAGUAACAUUUUCACUCUUUAUGAAUUUUUUUAUUUUUUAUGAUGGAAUUUUGUUGAUUGCAAGAAGCAACAUAGGCCAACAGAAAAUUUUUUGUGGCAUAUUAGCUCAGUACAAGUUUUCGAUCCCAUAGUAAAUAUGUAGAAGAUGAGUGCAAGUGAGCAGCAU
Molecule: long non-coding RNA, 552 nt
Organism: Hyalella azteca
Lineage: Eukaryota; Metazoa; Arthropoda; Malacostraca; Amphipoda; Hyalellidae
Exons: 3
Source: RefSeq, a predicted model, not a curated record